RNA transcript from Glycine soja, 3528 nucleotides. It is a transcript of the gene named heat shock factor protein HSF8-like, with no coding region annotated. The transcript has 5 exons. The record is from RefSeq and is a predicted model, not a curated record. NCBI's taxonomy places the organism in Eukaryota, Viridiplantae, Streptophyta, Magnoliopsida, Fabales, Fabaceae.
CAUUCAUUAAAAAAAUAAAAAUAAAAGACUCGGAGCAUUUUAAAAGCUUGUUAAUAUCUUCUUAAUAUAAUUCAGCCAAAAAAAAACCUCUUAGUAUAAACUGCCCUAGGUUUAAACCAAUAAUAUUCGUCGUACAAAAUUCAAACAGAACAAUUGAGUAAGAAAACCCGGUUUUUUUUUUUUGUUCAACUCUAUCCCUAAGCCUUCGUGGGUCUUCGUUUUUCUCUCUUUUUCCAAUGCUUGGUUAUGCACUUUCUUCAUUGCUUUGUGUUUGUUUAGUUGUUCCAAUUGGGUAUUGAUGAGUGUUUCUUCAUGUCGUUAAUAUGCUUUCUUGGGUGUGGUUUGAUCCGCCGCCAAGUGCACUUCCAACGCCAAUGCUUGUUCAGGUUCUAUUCCUCUGCUUCUUCUGCAUUGAUGUUAGAAGACCACGUGUUUGAUGAAAGUCCAAAAUCUCAUUUUGUUAUUAAUAGGCCUGCACCUCAUGUUCCCGCAACGAGGAGCGAGUUGUUUCCUUUAGUGUCUAGGGUGUUCAAAUCACUGAGUUGGAGUGUGGCAAGAAAAAAAAAGUUUGGGAAUUGGGUUGAGUGUCAUGGGUUUUCUCAUUCAAUCAGUUGCUUUAGGAUAAUCGUUCAUGCGUUUGCUUUGGCGGGGAUGCGUUUGGAAGUGUGGGCUUUGCUUAGAGAUAUUGUUGGCUUCUGUAAUGAGGCCAAGUAUGAUACCUUUGAAUUGUUUUCAGCUUUUCUGGAUUCACCCCAGCACGUGGAAAGAUCCGGUGUUGUGUUUGAUGUGCUCAUAAGCGUGUUUGCAUCCAACUCUAUGCUGGAAAAUGCUCUUGAUGUGUUUUCGAAUACUAAGCAUGUUGGGCUUGAGCCUGAUAUUAGGACUUGCAAUUUCUUGCUGAAAUGCUUGGUUGAGGCGAAUAGAGUGGAGUUUGUUAGACGGGUUUUUGAGGAAUUGAAGGACCGUGGUCCAUCGCCAAAUAUCUACACUUAUACAAUCAUGAUGAAUUUUUAUUGUAGUGAUGUUGGGUGUGAUGCAGGUAUGAGACAGGCUGCUGUGAUUCUGGGAAAAAUAUAUCGGAGUGGGGAAAAGCCAACUGUUGUCACAUAUAGUACUUAUAUUCAUGGACUUUGUAAAGUUGGUAAUGUUGAGGCUGCUCUGAUGUUAAUUCGCAACUUGCACUAUACAAACCAGCCCCUCAAUAGCCAUUCUUUUAAUGAUGUAAUUUAUGGAUUUUGUAAAAGAGGUGAAGUGUUUGAGGCUUUGCAAGUUUUGGAAGAAAUGAAGAGCUCUGGGAUAUUACCAGAUGUUUAUAGCUACAGCAUCUUAAUUAAUGCCUUCUGCGGGAAAGGUGAUGUAAUGAAAUGUCUUGACUUGAUGGAGGAAAUGGAACACUCCCAGAUAAAACCAUCCAUUGUUAGCUACACCUCCCUCAUCCAUGGUCUGUGCAAGAAGAAUAUGUUACAAAAUGCAGUGGAUAUAUUCCAUAGUAUUGGUGCUUCUAGUUGCAAAUAUGAUUCGACUGUUUAUGAAACUUUAAUUGAUGGAUUUUGCAUGCAAGGUGAUAUGGAUUCAGCCAUCAAGCUUUUGGAGGAGAUGAUCUGCAACGAAUUGGUUCCUACUGCUUUUAGUUGCCGCAGUCUAAUUAGGGGAUACUACAAACUGGGACUAUUCGAUCAGGCAUUGGAAGUUUUUAAUGCCAUGCUACGAGAUGGUAUUUGGCCAGAUACCAUCGCUUGCAAUUAUAUUCUUGAUGGAUCUUGCAGGGCAGGGUACUUCAAAGAAGCCUUGACACUGUUGGAGGACUUCCAAGAACAUGGAUUUAACCUCAACCCACAUUCAUAUAAUGCAAUCAUCUACAAACUUUAUAAAGAAGGUUAUCCAGAAAGAGCAUUGGAGCUCCUGCCAAGAAUGCUUAAAAGGAAUGUACUUCCCUCAGUUGUUAAUUAUAGUACUCUUAUAUCUGGCUUUGCCAAACAGUCAAAUUUUAAAAGGGCCGUGAACUUAUUCACGAGAAUGGUAAAAGUGGGGAUCACUUUCAACAUUGCCACGUAUACAAUUCUUAUGAGCAUAUUUAGCCAUAGUCACAAAAUGCAUGAAGCAUAUGGAAUUUUUAAGGAAAUGAAAGAAAGGGGUUUAUGUCUAGAUCAGAUUUCAUAUACAACUUUAAUAGUUGGUUUUUGUAAUAACAGAGAAAUGAAAAAGGCCUGGGCAUUAUUUGAAGAAAUGUCGAGGGAAGGCUGUUCGCCAAAUGUAAUUACUUAUACUUGUAUAAUUGAUGGAUUUUGCAAGUCAAACCGGAUAGAUUUGGCCACUUGGGUGUUUGAUAAAAUGAACAGAGAUUCAGUUAUUCCUGAUGUUGUGACUUACACCGUCCUCAUUGAUUGGUAUCACAAGCAUGGGUAUUUCGAUCAGGCACAUAAGUUAUAUGAUGUAAUGAAGGAUAAGGGUGUUUUGCCAGAUGAUAUAAUUCAUAAUGUUCUAGGUCUGAAAGCUGGCACAGUUCAAGAAGGUUAGGCAGCUGCAUCAGGCUUCCAUGAUAUCCCGCUGAAUCAGAAGAUUGAAUAUUUCAUUUUCGGUGCUGUGAUCCAAAGGAGGCAUAUUGAGUGGUAAAGAGAGUCAAAUUUGGUCAGGAAGAUGAAUCCACCCUUUAGGUAAAUGCUGAAUCAUCAUGCAGAAGUGGAUGAAUGGGAGUUAAUAAAUCAUUAUCACUGAAAAAAUGGAGUGCUAGAUACGGUUGAGUAGUUGUAGACCUAUAUGGAACACUUAACACAAGCAUGAUUGCAGCCAUUAUCUGCAUUUGGGUUCUUAGCCUGGUGCUUGAGGAGAAGGCUGUGCCUUGAUGUUCAUAAAAUAUUCUUGAAGAUGUAUAUGUUCAGCAUUUAAAGAUGGGUAUUCAAUUAAUAAUUAUAUUAUUCUAUUGGAAAGCAAGCUUCAUCUCUCACAUUGGGAGAUCAUCUUUCAGCAUGCAUCACCAUGACCUUGGGACCAGAAUACUUGGUAUCUUUUUUCUAAAGCUGUACCCAAUGCUUAAUAGUCACUGCAACGUAAUGCUGCUACACUAUGAAAAACUGUUCAUUGGUGUAUUUCAAAAGUUAGUGACCAAUUGAUUUGGCUUUUGUCUGCUUAAAGAUGAUACCGGAGAUAAUACAGCAGGAAAGAAGAUGAUAAACACUAGACAAAAAGCUGGAGAUUUCCAUUCUCUACUUAAAGAUGUCAUUGGGCUAAUUGGGUCUCAUUUUCCUGUUUGCAUUGACUUCAUCCCAAGGACAAGAAUGUCGGAGCUAUUUCUCUGUUUUUUUUUUUUUUAUCCUUAUUAUAGGAAGAUCAAAAGCAAAGGGACACCAAAAGAUUAAUGAAAUGCUCAGUAUGAAAGAAAUUCAUCGUGAUUCUAAGCUGUACCCUUCUUGUGACAUGGCAAUUUCUCUAAACUGAAGGCUGUAACAAAAAGAAAUGUGGUAAUUGUGAACAAUACUCUGCUACCACUGCAACAAAGCAAUUGAUGCAUCAGAUCCAAAUGGACAUUUC